Molecule: long non-coding RNA, 268 nt
Filed under: Carica papaya (papaya)
Lineage: Eukaryota; Viridiplantae; Streptophyta; Magnoliopsida; Brassicales; Caricaceae
Description: long non-coding RNA (CPAP_LNC007880)
Source: RNAcentral
CUGCCAUUGUGUCGUAUCAAAUCAAUCAUCUUUCACUCAACUCUCUUUCUCUUCAUUGGAUCUCACCAUUUGGCGUAAAUUUGACAGUCCUCAUUUUCUAUAUAUAGGGACUUUUCCUCCCAUUUCCUCAUCACUUCUAUUUCAUUCUUUCAUUUUCCAAGAGUUUAGAGAGAGGGGGGAGUGAUCUAGAGAGAAAAUGAGAUAAGAAGAAUGAUGUAGAAAACUUUAAGGUUUGGGUAAAAAAUUUAGUAUUUCUUUAAACAUCUUA